This 84-nucleotide microRNA precursor is filed under the name Marmota monax (woodchuck). Lineage: Eukaryota; Metazoa; Chordata; Mammalia; Rodentia; Sciuridae. The record is from RNAcentral.
UGUCCUGUUUGUCCACAAUUGUAGCAUGUUUUUGGCCUGGCAUCUAAAGCCAAAAACAUGCUACAAUUGUGAACAAACAGGACA